CCUACGGGAGGCAGCAGCGAGGAAUAUUGGUCAAUGGCCGAAGGGCUGAACCAGCCAAGUCGCGUGAGGGAAGACGGCCCUACGGGUUGUAAACCUCUUUUGCCGGGGAGCAAAGGCGGUCACUGGUGACCGGAUGAGAGUACCCGGAGAAAAAGCAUCGGCUAACUCCGUGCCAGCAGCCGCGGUAAU
RNAcentral lists this ribosomal RNA (189 nucleotides) under uncultured bacterium. RNAcentral's name for it is "partial 16S ribosomal RNA". It matches the Rfam family "Bacterial small subunit ribosomal RNA", at positions 338 to 524 of the family's 1533-position model. The record is from RNAcentral.